This 484-nucleotide ribosomal RNA is filed under the name uncultured bacterium. Its description in RNAcentral is "partial 16S ribosomal RNA". It matches the Rfam family "Bacterial small subunit ribosomal RNA", at positions 30 to 507 of the family's 1533-position model. The record is from RNAcentral.
AUUGAACGCUGGCGGCAGGCCUAACACAUGCAAGUCGAGCGGAUGAAGGGAGCUUUCUCCUGGAUUCAGCGGCGGACGGGUGAGUAAUUCCUAGGAAUCUGCCUGGUAGUGGGGGAUAACGUCCGGAAACGGGCGCUAAUACCGCAUACGACCUGAGGGAGAAAGGGGGGGAUCUUCGGACCUCACGCUAUCAGAUGAGCCUAGGUCGGAUUAGCUAGUUGGUGGGGUAAAGGCCUACCAAGGCGACGAUCCGUAACUGGUCUGAGAGGAUGAUCAGUCACACUGGAACUGAGACACGGUCCAGACUCCUACGGGAGGCAGCAGUGGGGAAUAUUGGACAAUGGGCGAAAGCCUGAUCCAGCAAUGCCGCGUGUGUGAAGAAGGUCUUCGGAUUGUAAAGCACUUUAAGUUGGGAGGAAGGGAAGUAAGUGAAUACCUUGCUGUUUUGACGUUACCAACAGAAUAAGCACCGGCUAACUUCGUG